AGCAGGAGCUGGGUCGGUGGCUGGAUGCUGCAGCUGCAGGGACUCAGCGCCUGGGAGGGCUCCUGGGCAGGGAGAGAAGCAGAGAUGCAACAUUUUUAAAGUUUCACAAAGCAUCCGGCUGCACCCAGGACCCUGUUAUCGAACUUUGUGGGAAAUACCAAGUUCCAGAAGAUUGAAUACAUGCAGGAAACAAAUGCUUUUUGGGCCCUAGAGUGAACAUUUGGUCCAUAUGACAAUGACCAGAAAGACUAUUAGGUGAAGGUUUUUUAAUGAUUUGUGCUACAUUAGUCUCUUCCCAUAAGACAUAUUCAAAGUUUUAACUUUUCCUUAAGAGGCUUCCAUGGGGAGCAAGCAUUUGAUAAUUCAUCCUUUAACUAAGAAAAACACCAUCACACACUGCUUGAAGAAUUCCUCUUCUAUUACUUAAAAUGUUUUUACUGUGUAACAUUUAAGGCAUACAAAAACAUAUAAAGAAUACCAUGAUGAAAGUCUAUGACUAUAUUAUCAAGCUUAAGAAAUAAAACAGUUGAGUCAUCUUUCAUUUAUGACUAAAUUAACUUAUUAAAACCAUUAAAACUUUUGGAUUACUACUCUUAAGAUAUUUUCUUAGGGAGAAGUUUAGCAGGGACAUCUAUCAAUUUUCCUAAUCCAAAAGAGCUAAUUCCUAGAUAUUGUAUGUUUGGUCUACAUUUUUUUCCUCUUGGAACUUCUAACAUUUUUUACUGUUCUUCUUUUUUUAAAUUGUACUAACAAAGACAUUGCAUAUUGCAAAUCCACAUAUAUAAUUUAUCAGAGGUUAUAAUUAGAGGAUAUUUCUUUUUUUUUUUUUUUCUUUUUUGAGACAGGGUCUCACUCUGUCUCCCAGGCUGGAGUGCAGUGGUGCAAUGAUGGUUCACUGCAGCCUUGACCUCCUGGGCUUGAGCAAACCUCCUGCCUUGGCCUCCCAAAGUGCUGGGAUUACAGGCAUCGUGAACUGCCACACCUUGUCAGAGGAUACUUCCGUAUCAAAAAUCAAAUAUAAUAUAAUGUCAUCAUUUGCAAAUAACUAUAGAAGAUUUUAAUGUUUAUUUAGCUUGACCUUUGAGGAUUCUAGUUCCUGAUUUAUUUAUCAUACUUGUUUUAAUCACACCAGGGAUAAUGAUCAAACAUUGAAUAACUUUUAUUUGUAAGAUUUCUUAGCAACAGAUCAUAGUACAUGUAUAUAGUAAAUGAAUAUAUCAACAUUUUUUCUGCGCUAUUUCAAAGUUUCGGUAAUUUUACUUCAUAAAGAAAUCUAAAAAUACUAAACCAGUCAUCUUAAAUAUAUUGCCACUGAAGCCCAAUAUCCACCUACUGUCUGAAUUUGGAGAGAGUAUGUCUAAUGUUAGAUGCUAAACAUUGUGAGAAUCCUCUCAGACACUGGUUUCAGAUAGCUGUCACCCAUAGAACUAAGGGCUAGAAAGUUAUUCAUCUUUAUGGUAUAAUUUUAGUUCAAUCUAAAAAAAAUUUACUGAGCGUCUACAAUGUUCUAGGCCCUGAGCCAGGUGCUGGGACAGAGGUGAGCCAUUCAUUAGUCCUCCCCAUGAGUCUCUUUAGCUGGAGAACCACUCUUUGUCUAGAGUAUGUGAUUUUGCACUUAACCUCUCUAGAGUCUAUGGUGUGUGAGAUGAACAGUGUAACAUUGUUUUGCAUAGAGAGGAUACUGUAGACAGAACCCAAUGAUGGAGCCUUAAGUAAAGAGUAUAAUUUGGGUGUGGUUGGUAGAAUCACUAUAAUGUAAUGUGACUUAAACCUCAGACAUCAAUUGUUAUUUUGGUACUUUAAAUAUAACUGAUGUUUUAUUCCUAUGACUAUACUAUUUAGAUAUUUAAAUAUUGAAAAACUGAUCACAAAGAUACUAUAAUACUUUUACACAUGUGUAUACAUAUGUAUAUAUGUAUGUCAAUGUAUAUUUUACUAUUGGCAUUAGUAAUUAUUUUCCCUUUGUGCAGUUUCUUUUAGAGUACUUCUGUCUUUUCCCCCUACCCCAAUAGUACCGUGAUAUUGUAUUAUUAACCGAGCUAUAGCAAGUCAUAAUGAUCACUUGAAAUCAUUUAUUAAAUAAAUGAGGUAAAGAUGUA
Molecule: non-coding RNA, 2099 nt
Organism: Macaca mulatta (Rhesus monkey)
Lineage: Eukaryota; Metazoa; Chordata; Mammalia; Primates; Cercopithecidae
Source: RefSeq, a predicted model, not a curated record